AUGGCGAAGCCUGAUGGAGCACGCCGCGUGCAGGAUGAAGGCCUUCGGGUUGUAAACUGCUUUUAUAAGUGAGGAAUAUGACGGUAACUUAUGAAUAAGGAUCGGCUAACUACGUGCCAGCAGCCGCGGUCAUACGUAGGAUCCGAGCGUUAUCCGGAGUGACUGGGCGUAAAGAGUUGCGUAGGUGGUUUGUUAAGUAGAUAGUGAAAUCUGGCGGCUCAACCGUACAGGCUAUUAUCUAAACUGACAAACUCGAGAGUGGUAGAGGUUACUGGAAUUUCUAGUGUAGGAGUGAAAUCCGUAGAUAUUAGAAGGAACACCAAUGGCGUAGGCAGGUAACUGGACCAUUUCUGACACUAAGGCACGAAAGCGUGGGGAGCGAACCGGAUUAGAUACCCGGGUAGUCCACGCCGUAAACGAUGGAUACUAGCUGUUGGAGGUAUCGACCCCUUCAGUAGCGAAGCUAACGCGUUAAGUAUCCCGCCUGUGGAGUACGGUCGCAAGACUAAAACAUAAAGGAAUUGACGGGGACCCGCACAAGCGGUGGAUCGUGUUCUUUAAUUCGAUGCUAAACGAAGAACCUUACCAGGGCUUGACAUCCAGGGAAUUUUUGGGAAACCAAUUAGUGCCUUUUGGAACCCUGUGACAGGUGAUGCAUGGCCGUCGUCAGCUCGUGUCGUGAGAUGUUUGGUUAAGUCCAUCAACGAGCGCAACCCUUGUACUUAGUUGAAUUUUUCUAGGUAGACUGCCCCGGUAACGGGGAGGAAGGAGGGGAUGAUGUCAGGUCAGUAUUUCCCUUACGUCCUGGGCUAGAAACACGAUACAAUGGCAAGUACAAUGCGCAGCGAAGCCGCGAGGUGGA
This 862-nucleotide ribosomal RNA is filed under the name uncultured bacterium. RNAcentral's name for it is "bacterial SSU rRNA". It matches the Rfam family "Bacterial small subunit ribosomal RNA", at positions 371 to 1266 of the family's 1533-position model. The record is from RNAcentral.